RNAcentral lists this long non-coding RNA (2301 nucleotides) under Canis lupus familiaris (dog). Its description in RNAcentral is "lncRNA (ENSCAFG00845000987.1)". Lineage: Eukaryota; Metazoa; Chordata; Mammalia; Carnivora; Canidae. The record is from RNAcentral.
CACAGGCAGAGGGAGAAGCAGGCUCCACGCAGAGAGCCCGACGCAGGACUCGAUCCUGGGUCUCCGGGAUCACACCCCCGGCCGAAGGCGGCACUAAACCGCUGAGGCACCCAGGCUGCCCUAAGUGUUCAACUUUUAUCUCAGCUCAGGUCUUGAUCACAGGGUCAUGAGUUCAAGCCGUAUGUUGGGCUCCAUGCCCAGCUUGAAAACAAAACAAAACAAAACACACUUCUGCUCUAGUUAAAAACAUAAAAAGUUAAUUUCCGGAACUAGUGUUUCAUUCAGUUGGACUCCUGCUGUGUAAAAACUGCCCUAUCCAGCCCUCUCCCCGCCCCCCCGCCCCACUUAGAGAUAAGAGGUACCAAAAGGUAAAAGAGCAGUCAGAUAUAACCUGGGAAGAAGCCAGGAACCCACACAAACAUUUCCAUGAAGCAGAAAGGUGAGGGCUCCGCAUGGUUCUAAAUCCAACUUGUCUGAGAACAGGAGCUGAAGAAGCGUCUGUCUGGAUAAUGGGCACAGCAGAGGCAGCCGCAGCCGACAGCGUGGCCCAAGAAAUGUUUCCUCUUGAGCUGAAGCUCAUCAGAGAGCAGAGAGGUAGUUGAAACCAAGUGUUGGAUGCAGAUGAAACUGGCCCGUAUGACCAGAAGGUGAAGUUAUAAACAUAAAGCGCCAGCAUUUAGGUGGACGCAGUCAGGGACUCUUCGGUGCAGUGGCAACCUGUCAGGCUUGGGGUAUGUGCCCAAUAUACCUCCUUUGAACACCGCACAGUGGAGUGGCGGAGAAUAAAAACUUCUGGGCUGCACUUUGGAUUAUUGGAAAAAAUAAUUUGCAAGAAUGUUCAUUGCAGUGCUAUCUAUAUUAGUGAACCAUUGCCCUCAAAUAGGGACUGCUGAAAUAAAUAAAUCAUGGUGUGUUGUUUGAAAAACUGGGGCACCUGAUUGGAUCUAUCAGUGGAACUCGAAACUCUUUUUUUUUUUUUUGGAACUCGAAACUCUUGAUCUUGGGUCGUGAGUUUGAGUUCCACGUUGGGUGUAGAGUCUACUUGAAAAAAUAAAAUAAAUAAAAUAAAAUGUUGGUGUAGAAGAUGAAGCAAACACCUCUUUCCCUCCCAGUUCAAGCCAUGAGAUCAUUGUUCCUUUGAACUUUUCAAAGUGGACUUAACCUUCAGUGUGGGAUGCAGGUGGCUAUGCCCAGCCUUUCCUUCCUGGCACUCAUUGAAGUAUGAGAUGACGUCUCAUACUGAAAACCCUCAGUUUUCAUUCCCAGUGGGACCACUAAAAGUGCAAGUUCUUUGAGUUUCUCUUACCUUUCGUUUCUCUCGUGUAAAACAGAGGUUUUACAGGUUUUACAUAGCAGGCCGACUUUUUUGUUAAGCUCUGUGGGAGUUAGUUGAGCCAUAUAAUGGUGGCAGCCACACUUAGAUGAGGUUGGUGGUUCAGACCCCAGCUCAGUCAUUUUCUUUCUGUGUUUAACUUUUCUCAUCUAUAAAAUGAGAAUAAUGAAUGCAUGGUUUUCAUAGGAAACAGACUGAGGGUCGCUGGAGGGGAGGAGGAUGAGGGAACAGGGUAACUGGGUGAAAGGCAUCAAGGAGGGCGUCUGAUGUAAUGAGCACUGGGUGUUAUACAAGACUGAUGAAUCACUGACUUCUAUCUCUGAAACCAGUAAUACAACAUACAUUAAUUGAAUUUACAUAAAAAUUUUUAAAAAGCAUGGUUAUGGAGACUGGUUAUGGUUAUAUGAAUUAAUAUAGUGCUUACUUUUAGAGUUAAUGAGUCUAAACUAUUCUGUCCAAUAGAAUAGCCAUCUGCCACAUGUAACUAGAAUGCAUUUGAAGUGUGGCUUGUCACCUGAGGGUGCCUGACUGGCUAAAACGGUGGAGUGUGCGACUCUUGAUCUCAGGGUCGUGGGUUUGGGCCCCACGCUGGGGUUAGAGAUGACUUAAAUCAAUCAAUCAGUUUUUGAAAUGUGCCACAUCUAACUGAGGUGCACCAUAAGUGUAAAUUCACAUCAGAUUUUGAAGUCUUAAUGUGGAAAGAGAAUGUAAAAUAUCUCACUAAUAAUUUAUUUGAUUAUAUGUUAAAAUAAUAUUCUGCAUCUAUUGGGUUAAAUAGAACAUAUUUUACAAUUAAUCUCACUAUAUAUAAUUAUUAUUUAUUAUUUUUUACUCUCUAAAAUGCAGAGGAAUUACUCAUAUACAUGUACUGUACUUCUGUCUGUUUGUAUUUUAUUUUAUUUUAUUUUAUUUAUUUUUUGUUUGUAUUUUAAUAAAUAAAUAAAAUGCGGCUCCUAGAAUAUUUACAA